This 1115-nucleotide long non-coding RNA is filed under the name Sus scrofa (pig). RNAcentral describes it as "lncRNA (ENSSSCG00060031055.1)". Lineage: Eukaryota; Metazoa; Chordata; Mammalia; Artiodactyla; Suidae. The record is from RNAcentral.
GUGAAUAAAAGAUACAGGAAGUCUACAGAAAGACACAGGAAGAGGAGGCCACACCUAAAUGCUGGCAAGGGAGCAGGCAACAGGGUCAGACUCCAAGCCUCAGACCCCUCCUGGAUACGAACCAUCCCCUGCCUCAUCAGAGCCUGGGAAGAUUUCCUACUCGUGAGGCUAACGAAUCGCUCAGAACACAACCAUCUCAUUAAGCAAUUAGCUCUGGGAGCGCCAAGGCAAGGAAGUGACCUCACUGGCCACUCGACAAGACACCGCCCUGCCGCUGGGGAGGAAGGUAACAGGGUAAUCAUGACCAUGGUGGGAGGGACAUUGAUGGUGAUGUCAAGUGACGGAAAAGGUGAUGGGUGUCAGAUCUCUGUGAUGGUGGAGGAGAUGCUGGGGCUGGGAACUGACUUGAUGGUGGUGCAGGGGAUGGUUGAUGGUGGUGGCAGAUCACAGCGGUGAUGGCAAGGUGACAUUGGUAGUGAUGACUGACGGGGUAGACCCUGUGGCUGGGCUCCCUCAGCCUCCAUCCCAUCCUCCUCAAUGACAGGGAAGUUGGAAAGUUAGCAACGACAUAGCCCUCCCUUGUGGCGUUUACAUGUGGAUUCACUGGGGCAGAAUCUGGAUGGCAGAAGCGAGGCGGAGUCCUUUCCAAGCUUUGGUUUUCUAAUUUCUAAUAAUAGUAGAGCACUGCUGGAGUUCCUGUUGUGGUGCAGCGGAAACGAAUCCGACUAGGAACCAUGAGGUUGCGGGUUCGAUCCCUGGCCUCACUCAGUGGGUUAAGGAUCCAGCGUCGCCAUAGCUGUGGUGUAAGUCACAGAUGCGGCUCGGUUCCCACAUUGCUGUGACUGUGGUGUAGGCUGGCAGCUACAGCUCCAAUUAGACCCCUAGCCUGGGAACCUCCAUAUGCCGCAGGUGAGGCCCUAAAAAAAAAAAAAAAAAAAAAGGCAAAAAAAAAAUAAUAGAACAUUGCUGGCCACAUAAUAAGCACUAUCUACAAUUUGGUUGUUGUUACUUUUUUUUUUUCUUGCUCUCUUUUGGCUGUUUCUGCUGGCCAGCAAGAUUGCAGUGAACAGGUGGUUUUUCUGCCACAGUGUCCUGAUAUUGGGUCCAGCUUCCAG